AAAUCAAUCCAUAAUUAUUGAUUUAUAAAUGCACUGAUUUUGAUGAAAGAUUAUGAAUUUAUGAUUACUCGUUCAGCUAAGCUAUGGCUAUCAGUAGCUUCACCCCGCCGAGCUCGAACAUGAACGUACGGAAGCUUCUCGCGUUCGGUGACUUUUGCAGCGGUUUUGCUCUUCUUCCCCGAUGAUUUCACCUAAUUUUGAUAAAUUUUGUUUUUAAUAGGUCAGUUACUUGAUAUUAGAAUCGUAGAAAUUGAGGUAAAAUGGCGAAUCAAGUCACAAACCGUCUUUUCUCGAUCCUUUCGUUUUGUUGACAUUGAAUCUAUUGGAUCUGAGGAAAUCGGUGAUGAAUUGUGCAGGGAACCUGAUUCUAGAGGCUCUUGUUUCACCGGAUUACUGAUAAUACGGUUCGGAUUUUGUAGAAUUAGAAUUGAUCCCAUCGUCUCCGAAGAAUUCUCCUUCGCCGUCACGGAGGGGAAAACUUUUGGUGUUUCUUCCUCCGGCGAAU
This 505-nucleotide long non-coding RNA is filed under the name Lactuca sativa (garden lettuce). RNAcentral describes it as "long non-coding RNA (LSAT_LNC009215)". The record is from RNAcentral. Lineage: Eukaryota; Viridiplantae; Streptophyta; Magnoliopsida; Asterales; Asteraceae.